Long non-coding RNA from Ipomoea nil (Japanese morning glory), 445 nucleotides. RefSeq lists it as uncharacterized. NCBI's taxonomy places the organism in Eukaryota, Viridiplantae, Streptophyta, Magnoliopsida, Solanales, Convolvulaceae. The transcript is spliced from 3 exons. The record is from RefSeq and is a predicted model, not a curated record.
AGCAUCAGCAAUUGGGACGGUCCACUCCGUUGGCGACUUCUUCAACUAAUCUCGUGAACAGCUGCAACGUGCUAUUCAAUCGACGAUCUCGUGAACUGCCGAAGACUCCGUCUGCGAAUUUCGUCCACGAACCGUCGACUCCGUCUGCGCAUUUCGUCCACGAACCGUCGACUCCUUCUGCGGCUUCUUUGAACUUGUGGUCUGCUGCUACGGACAGAAGAAAACAGAUUGAGGCAGAGUAAUUGGAGCCUACUUUGUUAAAUUUCUCUGCACAGAUGUGAUUUUCCAGUUAAUAGAAGCACGCACUGAUAGAACACUGUUACAGAGAUAGAAAUAUUCUGAGUGCACAAAUUGGAAGGUAUGGCAGUUCCUGUGGGUCAUCAAUGUAUCCAUAUCCAAAGCCACCUGAACUUAUCUCAGCUUUUUCCCGUUUGUUGAGCAGAUG